GAUGAACGCUGGCGGCGUGCCUAAUACAUGCAAGUCGAGCGAAUGGAUUAAGAGCUUGCUCUUAUGAAGUUAGCGGCGGACGGGUGAGUAACACGUGGGUAACCUGCCCAUAAGACUGGGAUAACUCCGGGAAACCGGGGCUAAUACCGGAUAACAUUUUGAACCGCAUGGUUCGAAAUUGAAAGGCGGCUUCGGCUGUCACUUAUGGAUGGACCCGCGUCGCAUUAGCUAGUUGGAGAGGUAACGGCUCACCAAGGCAACGAUGCGUAGCCGACCUGAGAGGGUGAUCGGCCACACUGGGACUGAGACACGGCCCAGACUCCUACGGGAGGCAGCAGAAGGGAAUCUUCCGCAAUGGACGAAAGUCUGACGGAGCAACGCCGCGUGAGUGAUGAAGGCUUUCGGGUCGUAAAACUCUGUUGUUAGGGAAGAACAAGUGCUCGUUGAAUAAGCUGGCACCUUGACGGUACCUAACCAGAAAGCCACGGCUAACUACGUGCCAGCAGCCGCAGUAA
This 515-nucleotide ribosomal RNA is filed under the name uncultured bacterium. Its description in RNAcentral is "partial 16S ribosomal RNA". It matches the Rfam family "Bacterial small subunit ribosomal RNA", at positions 28 to 523 of the family's 1533-position model. The record is from RNAcentral.